GACGAACGCUGGCGGCGUGCUUAACACAUGCAAGUCGAGCGGUAAGGCCUUUCGGGGUACACGAGCGGCGAACGGGUGAGUAACACGUGGGUGAUCUGCCCUGCACUUCGGGAUAAGCCUGGGAAACUGGGUCUAAUACCGGAUAUGACCUCCUAUCGCAUGGUGGGUGGUGGAAAGAUUUAUCGGUGCAGGAUGGGCCCGCGGCCUAUCAGCUUGUUGGUGGGGUAAUGGCCUACCAAGGCGACGACGGGUAGCCGACCUGAGAGGGUGACCGGCCACACUGGGACUGAGACACGGCCCAGACUCCUACGGGAGGCAGCAGUGGGGAAUAUUGCACAAUGGGCGAAAGCCUGAUGCAGCGACGCCGCGUGAGGGAUGACGGCCUUCGGGUUGUAAACCUCUUUCAGCAGGGACGAAGCGCAAGUGACGGUACUUGCAGAAGAAGCACCGGCUAACUACGUG
This 462-nucleotide ribosomal RNA is filed under the name uncultured bacterium. Its description in RNAcentral is "partial 16S ribosomal RNA". It matches the Rfam family "Bacterial small subunit ribosomal RNA", at positions 28 to 507 of the family's 1533-position model. The record is from RNAcentral.